AUGGCGGCGGCGGCUGCUCCGUUGCUGGAGAAGGGGAGGAGGGUGUGCAAGGAGGGGUGCCCCGGGUGCAGCCUGGACCAGAUCAACAAGGCCAACACCGGCGUCCCCUACCUCAACUUCUUCUACGUCUGGGUCGUCUGCCUCUGCGCCGGCUGGGUCAUGAAAAUCCUUAUUGACAGAUUAUACUGA
RNAcentral lists this ribosomal RNA (189 nucleotides) under Triticum aestivum (bread wheat). Its description in RNAcentral is "partial small subunit ribosomal RNA". Lineage: Eukaryota; Viridiplantae; Streptophyta; Magnoliopsida; Poales; Poaceae. The record is from RNAcentral.